This 100-nucleotide long non-coding RNA is filed under the name Homo sapiens (human). Its description in RNAcentral is "ZEB2 antisense RNA 1". The record is from RNAcentral. Lineage: Eukaryota; Metazoa; Chordata; Mammalia; Primates; Hominidae.
CUAUCUCUCUCUCGACUUUUCAGUGCCAAAUUUUGGCCAGAAAUGGUGAGAAGAAAAAGCAUGAAGAAGCCGCGAAGUGUGGGGGAGAAAAAGGUGGAAG